RNAcentral lists this ribosomal RNA (497 nucleotides) under uncultured bacterium. RNAcentral describes it as "partial 16S ribosomal RNA". It matches the Rfam family "Bacterial small subunit ribosomal RNA", at positions 28 to 507 of the family's 1533-position model. The record is from RNAcentral.
GAUGAACGCUGGCGGCGUGCCUAAUACAUGCAAGUCGAGCGAACAGAUGAGGAGCUUGCUCCUCUGACGUUAGCGGCGGACGGGUGAGUAACACGUGGAUAACCUACCUAUAAGACUGGGAUAACUUCGGGAAACCGGAGCUAAUACCGGAUAAUAUAUUGAACCGCAUGGUUCAUUAGUGAAAGACGGUUUUGCUUUCACUUAUAGAUGGAUCCCCGCCGCAUUAGCUAGUUGGUAAGUUAACGGCUUACCAAGGCAACGAUGGUUAGCCGACCUGAGAGGGGGGUUCGCCCACACGGAAACGAGACCAGGUUCAGGCUCCUACGGGAGGGAGCAGGAGGGAAUCUUCCGGCAUGGGGGAAAGCCUGAAGGAGCCAAGCCGGGGUGGUGAAGAAGGGCUUCGGGUCGGUAAACCCUUUUAUUAGGGAAGAAAAAAAGUGGAAGGAAAUAUGCCCGUCUUGACGGUAACUAAUCCAAAAACCACCGCUAACUUCGUG